Molecule: ribosomal RNA, 253 nt
Filed under: uncultured bacterium
Lineage: Bacteria
Description: partial 16S ribosomal RNA
Rfam family: Bacterial small subunit ribosomal RNA
Source: RNAcentral
UACGAAGGGGGCUAGCGUUGCUCGGAAUCACUGGGCGUAAAGGGUGCGUAGGCGGGCCUUUAAGUUAGGGGUGAAAUCCUGGAGCUCAACUCCAGAACUGCCUUUGAUACUGAGGAUCUUGAGUACGGGAGAGGUGAGUGGAACUGCGAGUGUAGAGGUGAAAUUCGUAGAUAUUCGCAAGAACACCAGUGGCGAAGGCGGCUCACUGGCCCGUUACUGACGCUGAGGCACGAAAGCGUGGGGAGCAAACAGG